UACGUAGGGCGCGAGCGUUGUCCGGAUUUAUUGGGCGUAAAGAGCUCGUAGGCGGCUUGUUGCGUCAGCUGUGAAAACCCGCAGCUCAACUGUGGGCUUGCAGCUGAUACGGGCAGGCUUGAGUUCGGUAGGGGAGACUGGAAUUCCUGGUGUAGCGGUGAAAUGCGCAGAUAUCAGGAGGAACACCGGUGGCGAAGGCGGGCCUCUGGGCCGAUACUGACGCUGAGGAGCGAAAGCGUGGGGAGCGAACAGG
This 253-nucleotide ribosomal RNA is filed under the name uncultured bacterium. RNAcentral's name for it is "partial 16S ribosomal RNA". It matches the Rfam family "Bacterial small subunit ribosomal RNA", at positions 524 to 776 of the family's 1533-position model. The record is from RNAcentral.